CACGCUGUUUGGAGCAGUCUCGCUUUCUCUGCUCUGGGCUGGUCUCCUGGCCUUGCCAUAGAGUUGGUGCCCAAUAUGCUCUCUUGCAUGUUAAGAAAGGCUCUGCUUGUCCUCUGGGACGGUCCUCUGAAAGCUGACUGGGUGGCCACUUAAGUAUGGUGCUUAUGCGAAGAACAAUCCUUCAACCAAGUGCCUCAGUAUGAGGACGCGGAAGACCAGAGGGGAAGGAGGCUUGCCUGGUCAAUCUGGAAGUCAGGGACAGAGCUGCUGCCCAGAUGGCCCCUCUGCUGAUGAAAUGGUCUCCAGCAGGACACUUGCUUGGCGAGGAUGAGAGGCGAUCACGGAGGCCAGGACCACCCCUCUGAGCUGCCUGCCCACGAUGCCCACCCCCGUGGGAGGUGCAGACCUGCUCCUUUGGUGGCCUCCAGAACCUCUCCUGCAACGUGGAACUUGGGCCCCCAAGCAAGAAUGGCUUCCUUCUCCGCUGGCUCCAGAGGCACGAAGGAGAAGCCCUUCCUCCCCCUCGUAGAGCUGAAGCCCAUCUGCACGUCCAAAGGGUGUUCCUUCCUGGACUUGAUUACUAACCGUCUGCCUCCCUGGCCAGACGAGCCUCUCGGUGACCUUGGGCUCCUUCCAAAAUCAAAUUUUCUUUCAAAGGAAGCAGGGGGUUCGUCACCACUGAAGAAAUUCAGAGAAUGACAGCUGGAGAGAAGAGUCUGAGGGGAAGGGGAGAAAACACCCACUUACCGCGAGCUAGCCGUGUUAACUCAUUUAAUCCCAUCAGCCACAAAUUAAGUUUUAUGAUGUGUUGUUUUCAGAUGAAGAGCUGGUGUGGAUGUGAGUUAUUUUCUCCACACUCACACAGCUCGUGAUGGUGGAAGUGGAAUUUGGGAGGCAGCUCUGCUCACUACUAUACCACCAACACUGGAACUGUGGUCUGAUCUAGUCUCUGCCUCUGUCACUUACCCUCAUGCUGCUUGGACACGCCGCAGCAGGGUGGAGUACAGCAAAGGGUCAAAAAGCCUGGAUUCUGCCUCUGGCUUUGCAACUGAAAGGUCAUGUGAAAGCUAAUA
Molecule: long non-coding RNA, 1073 nt
Organism: Talpa occidentalis (Iberian mole)
Lineage: Eukaryota; Metazoa; Chordata; Mammalia; Eulipotyphla; Talpidae
Exons: 3
Source: RefSeq, a predicted model, not a curated record